RNAcentral lists this ribosomal RNA (621 nucleotides) under Streptomyces microflavus. RNAcentral describes it as "bacterial SSU rRNA". It matches the Rfam family "Bacterial small subunit ribosomal RNA", at positions 86 to 721 of the family's 1533-position model. The record is from RNAcentral. Lineage: Bacteria; Bacillati; Actinomycetota; Actinomycetes; Kitasatosporales; Streptomycetaceae.
GGUGGAUUAGUGGCGAACGGGUGAGUAACACGUGGGCAAUCUGCCCUUCACUCUGGGACAAGCCCUGGAAACGGGGUCUAAUACCGGAUAACACUCUGUCCUGCAUGGGACGGGGUUAAAAGCUCCGGCGGUGAAGGAUGAGCCCGCGGCCUAUCAGCUUGUUGGUGGGGUAAUGGCCUACCAAGGCGACGACGGGUAGCCGGCCUGAGAGGGCGACCGGCCACACUGGGACUGAGACACGGCCCAGACUCCUACGGGAGGCAGCAGUGGGGAAUAUUGCACAAUGGGCGAAAGCCUGAUGCAGCGACGCCGCGUGAGGGAUGACGGCCUUCGGGUUGUAAACCUCUUUCAGCAGGGAAGAAGCGAAAGUGACGGUACCUGCAGAAGAAGCGCCGGCUAACUACGUGCCAGCAGCCGCGGUAAUACGUAGGGCGCAAGCGUUGUCCGGAAUUAUUGGGCGUAAAGAGCUCGUAGGCGGCUUGUCACGUCGGAUGUGAAAGCCCGGGGCUUAACCCCGGGUCUGCAUUCGAUACGGGCUAGCUAGAGUGUGGUAGGGGAGAUCGGAAUUCCUGGUGUAGCGGUGAAAUGCGCAGAUAUCAGGAGGAACACCGGUGGCGAAGG